RNAcentral lists this long non-coding RNA (492 nucleotides) under Monodelphis domestica (gray short-tailed opossum). Its description in RNAcentral is "lncRNA (ENSMODG00000051146.1)". The record is from RNAcentral. Lineage: Eukaryota; Metazoa; Chordata; Mammalia; Didelphimorphia; Didelphidae.
CACCAGGAAGCAAGCAAAGGGGAAAGAUUGGAUUUUACUCUCCUCCCCCCACACCACUUUCUGUUUCCCUCUCAACUGAUUUGACUGCUUUUUUCAGAAAUGGAAAACAACAUCCGCCCUCCAAUUUAGAUCUCCUUCACAUGCUGGGAAGACAUCCAACUCCUGGGCCCCCCUUGAAAGGCAUCUAUUCUAAGCCUUGCCAGAAGUAUCAUGUCCCAAUGAAUCCUAAAAGAAGUCUACACUGAAGGCAACUCAAUUUUGGACAUGUUAAAGGAUCAAAUCUCAAGAUAACAGAUGAAAGGAUACCUAAUACUAGGAAUAUCUUAGAUGUUAUUAUCUUAAAAAGGUGACUGAAAUAUUAAUAACUACCAAUCCACCCACCUCCAUUCAUGUCUGUACAAAAAUGUAAUGCAAAUGGUCUGUAUAUAUACAAAAAAGAAUUUUUAUAAUACUUAAUUUUUUUAUCCAUUACAUGUAAAAAUAAAAAUUAAC